GCGAAUAUCCAUAAAUAAAACUUAACCAUGAUAAUAUGACUAGAAUAGUCGCUUGAUAUUUUAUAUUCUGUUUUAUUUUAUCGUAAUCUUGCUAUGCUUUUAGUUGGUUCAACUAGUUUCAAGUACACUGCCCGGUUGUGUCUUGGCUAUCUUCUUUCCACUUUGUUUUUCCAUCUUAUUAUGAUAUUAAUGUUUAAAAAUGGAUUUUAAAAGAAAGAUAAAGGUUUUCUUAAUAUUUGGAAUAAAUUCGCUCUGCAACAACUCGUAAAGGUAAGUCACUCAUU
RNAcentral lists this long non-coding RNA (284 nucleotides) under Carica papaya (papaya). Its description in RNAcentral is "long non-coding RNA (CPAP_LNC015629)". Lineage: Eukaryota; Viridiplantae; Streptophyta; Magnoliopsida; Brassicales; Caricaceae. The record is from RNAcentral.